CUGUCCGUUACUUCAUUUAGCUUCCCUUGGAAGCUUAGUAUCAAAACUUCGUCGUUUUGACUCAUCAAAGUUAGGCCCUUUGUUUCCUUCCUUUUCUUCAUCCAAUAACCCUGAAUCCUUCUCUUCGUUAUCUCUAUUUUAAAUUUUCCUUUUUCUUUUGAUUUCCACACUUUUGCUCUCAAGUUUUUCUCUCUUAAGGAAGCAAAAUUUUCCUCGCAUUCUCAUCUUCUUUCUGAUUGUGGUCGUCUAUCCCCAGGUAUUUUUGUACCUUUAUUUUUCUUGUAUUUUUACUUCGGUCAUUGCAUGAGUUCGGAUGAGUCUAGGAUACAUUAUUGGUAUAAUCAGCAGAAAUAUUAUGUACUUUCUACUCUCACCCAUUCUACUAGCUUGGACUAUCAGAAUAUCUUAACUUUACUUCCAAUUUAUAUAGUCAAUCUGGGAGAUUUAGGUCAUCCUAGGAUCAUGGAACAAAACCCUAAAGGUGCUAGGAAUUCUAGAAAAAACAAAAAAGUUGGGUCUCAUGAUGGUGAUUAGGGAAUUUUUUCUGAAGAGUUGAAGGCUGAUUCUUUUAAGGUGGUAAUGAUGGGAGAUUUGUUGGCAAGCUGAAGGGGUUUGAUUGAGUUAGCGGCCCCCAGUAAGGUGUGAAGCUCUGAACUACACCAUCCUAAAUGUCGGCUUUAGACUUCCAUUCCCUAGGGUCAUCCAUAGGUUUCUUUCUUUCAGUAAAGGUAGUGGUCGUAGCUUACAAAAGAAAAAAGGAAAAUCUCUGCUAAGGUAGUUCAAGCAUGGUCGUUCUGAGGAAUCACAAACAAGGUCGACUCCCGUAGCCUUAUCUCCUGAGUAAUCUUUACAUCUGGUACCAAUGUAGAGGUCGACUCAUGUUUCUAUUCCUCUUACCAUCACUAUUGUGGCAGGCUCCUUGAGGUCAUAAGAAUGGUGCCCAAAUCUACGGAGGCCUAUCAUUGAUUUCUUGGUGGGCUGAAGACCUUGGAUAUUCCUGGACUUCCUCAAACCUCCAUCACGAUCCAGGAAGUUGAUAGCUACACUCUCUUUAUCCCCUUAGAGACUCCACCAAUCUCCUCACUAGGAAAUGGAAUGAGUUGAACUAAAAGUUCAUUUUCUAAUACAUUCUAUAUAUGAUGUUAGUGACGGAUGAUGUGUUCGAGCUUGCGUAGUUUAGAAACUUUUGCUUUGUUUUAUAACCCAGAUUAUUUUCUUCUUUCAGGUGAAGGCUGAAUUGGAAAAAAAGGUUAGAGGUAAAGAAUCGGGCCUUAAGCUUUUUCCAAAACAUGGAGGCUGAAAGGCUAAGAUUUGUUGGGAAAAAAGAAGAAAUACAAAUAUCACCUUAAUAAGAUGGGGAUUGAUUGGAGGCGAAGUUAGCCUCAGAACUGGGCCUCGUGGAUGAGAUUAAAGCCUUGAAGAUUUAGGGAAGAAAGGCAAACGAGAGGGUCUCUACUGAGGAAAAUAGAGCUGCAGAAGCGAGAGCUAAGGCUAACGAAGCUAUGAAGAGGGCUGAAGAAGCUACCAAAAAGGUAAAAGAGGUUGAAGCUAAAGCAACUAAGGAAAUGGAUCUUUUGAGGGCCUUUCUUGAGUUCGACCUCUAGCUCAGGAUGCCUAUUAGUGGCCUUGGAGGAGUUUGUGAAACAUACUGACAACGAGUGGCCAGGUUUUGACAUUGCGUUUUUUGGUAGAGGUGUUAAAAGAACAGAAAAAGGAACAGAGAAAACGUCUGAGGCAGUUGGGUUUCACAUCUCUCUUGCCGAUGAAGAUGUUGAAGAUGAGGUCGUUGCUCAGAGAGAUCCCCUAGUUCGUUAGCUCCCACUUUUUUUUAUGCUGAUGCUAAACACUAUUUUUAAUUUGCUUAUAAUAGACAUUUAGCUAGUAAAUGGAUAUUCUAUUGCAUGUCAAUUCGAUUUUUUGCACAAAUUUACAAUGUUUAUGAUUUCCUUGAAAGGUGAAUCGUUAUUUUAGCUUGCUUUAGGAGCAAUGCCUUUGUAAUUUCUUGAAGUAUUGCUACA
This 2018-nucleotide long non-coding RNA is filed under the name Olea europaea subsp. europaea. The record is from RNAcentral. Lineage: Eukaryota; Viridiplantae; Streptophyta; Magnoliopsida; Lamiales; Oleaceae.